Molecule: ribosomal RNA, 491 nt
Filed under: uncultured bacterium
Lineage: Bacteria
Description: partial 16S ribosomal RNA
Rfam family: Bacterial small subunit ribosomal RNA
Source: RNAcentral
AUUGAACGCUGGCGGCAUGCUUUACACAUGCAAGUCGAACGGUAACAGGCCUUCGGGUGCUGACGAGUGGCGAACGGGUGAGUAAUGCAUCGGAACGUACCCAGAGGUUGGGGAUAACGCAGCGAAAGCUGUGCUAAUACCGCAUGUGAUCUGAGGAUUAAAGCGGGGGACCGAGCAGGAAUGUUUGGCCUCUCGCCUUUGUAGCGGCCGGUUUCGGGUUAGCUAGUUGGUGGGGUAAAGGCCUCCAAAGGCAACGAUCCGUAGCGGGCCUGAGAGGAGGACCAGCAAACUUGGACCUGAGCAACGGCCCAGCCUCUUAGGGGAGGAAGCAGUGGGAAAUUUUGGAAAAGGGGCGAAAGCCUGAGGCAGAAAUGCCGGGGGCGGGAAGAAGGCCUUCGGGUUGUAAACCGCUUUUGGCAGGAACGAAACGGUGUCCGCUAAUACCGGGCGCUAAGGACGGAACCUGCAGAAUAAGCACCGGCGAAUUCCGU